Molecule: small nucleolar RNA, 161 nt
Filed under: Bombyx mori (domestic silkworm)
Lineage: Eukaryota; Metazoa; Arthropoda; Insecta; Lepidoptera; Bombycidae
Description: Bm_115
Source: RNAcentral
ACUGCCUUUCAGUAGAUCAUGGCGUUAAAUUAUUUACGUUUAUGAAUGGACAAUAAGGCGAAAGUAGUGCCCCAAUUAAUGACUCCCAAGCGUACUCAACUCUAGAAUUAUGACUUCUAAUUCUAGAUAUUUACGUUUGCAGCAAUUAGUGGCAACAACUU